CUGUAGGACCCAGGCUAUGGCCUUUUCUGGAUUGUCCACUCUGGUUUCUGCUUCUCUUCCUUCUCUCCUGAUCCCUGGUCACUCCUCAUGUGCUCUGUGCAAAGAUCCGCCUACAUGAGGAUUCAUGGAGUGUCCGAGACCUUCCUUGACCAGUUCUUCCAUUGGCUGACUCCAUGAACACUCUGGAGUGCCCAUGAGGCGUCAAGUAGAAUGCUGGAUGCUGGGAGCACACAGCCAAAAUGCGCAGAUUGAAAACAAGCUGGUCAUCCCAACAGAGCAGGCUCUCUGAGGGUUGGAUCGGCAAACAGAGCUAUAUGUCCAAGAAGAUGGAGCUGAGCCCUUGCAGGCUUUCUGGCUAUUUGCCCUUCACCCUUCACCUGUCCACACUGCCUCACGAUGACAUUUGUGAUGUCCUUGGUCUUUGGCAGACAAUACCUCUGAGUACGAGUGUCCAGGUAGUCCGUUCGUAUUGAGCUCAGCACCUGCUCUCAUGCCUCCUUCUAAUCACCAUUGCCUUUGACCACUUUAGAUGAGAGGUCCUUCUGCUGGGUUCAUUAAGUCCCUG
RNAcentral lists this long non-coding RNA (565 nucleotides) under Cricetulus griseus (Chinese hamster). RNAcentral's name for it is "lncRNA (ENSCGRG00000025342.1)". The record is from RNAcentral. Lineage: Eukaryota; Metazoa; Chordata; Mammalia; Rodentia; Cricetidae.